CCUCCUUUUCUCAUAACCAGCGGGUGAAAGGGUAGCUUGUGAUUUGAUGCUGAUGACUGUUGAGCCUUUUUCACGUGUCAGCAUUUAUUUCUUGGAAAAGUGUCUUGUUAGUACUACUACACACAGUUGCAGCAAUCACUUAGUGCAGCAGCCACUAGCACCCACUUAGUGCUUAUGUGCUUUUGGGACUUCCCAUAGCACAAGAGUCAGCCUGUUUGGAGGCACUGUCUGUGGUGAGUGGUAUCCAGAAACACUGACUCAGUGAAGUCAUGGAACAAUAACAAAGGUUAACUGUCCAAAGGAAACACAGCAAAUGAAAACAUUUCUGAAAUGCCUAUUGCUCACGCUUGAUUUCUGGAGGGGGAAGAAGAAAAGUAAAUUGCUCAUGCAGAACAGAGACUCUCCUUUCAUUUUCUUGUUCUCUCCUAAGCAGUGCACAUAGACUGCCCGGCUGUGAGGCUUAACAGAUGUGGCAGAACUGAAGCAUGGAAAGUCUGUCCACGGGAGAAAUGUAUCAGCUAUCUUGAGACGUGAGAUGCCAACAGCUAUGAACCUCACUCCUCAUCUGAUACCUGCCAUGGGAAAAGCAUGUGAAAGCAGACUCAAGUUUUUAAGGCUCACUACAAAGCCCAUUUACAGCAAAGGAGACUUUACAUCAAGCAUAACACAGGUCAGGCUGGAUUUUCAGUUAAAGGAUUGUGUAUGGAAGUGUGAGAUGUUGAUCUUGUCAAUAAAGUCUCACAGCCUCUGUGUGCAGCAGAGCAUGACUUUGGAUAUCAUCAGCAGAGAAUGUGUGCUUCUCCCAGGAGGUGGUUUGCUUUCCAGCCAUGAAAAUGCAGUGUUGGUAGUAGAAAAUGGAAACUGUGAAAAAUUACCAAGAAUGCAGAUCUAGUAGAUAUUUGCCUGGCAUCCCAUGGGCCUGCAGAGAAGUACAACAUAGGGGAAGAAGUCUUCCAGGAAUGCAUGAGGAGCAUGCUGUUCUUCAUCAAGCUCAACCUGAACACGUACUUCUGUAUUUAUUCUCUUCGCUCUCCUCCUGACACCUGAAUGACUGGAUCCUGGCAGCACAUAUUUUUAGCGGUUUAUCCAUUAUUUUUUUUUAAUGUAGAAAACAGUGUACAAGGAUUUAUACGAAGGCCUUGAGAUGACUCAACUAUUGGCUUGCAUCUCCGCAGCAGAAGGCUGUGGUUUCCAUUUCUACCUCAUGUACUAGGCACAUACCCAACGCUUGGCACUGUAUUUCAGUGACAGGGGGUGUUGCAUCGUGGGAGAUGUCAUCCCAAAGAUGACAUGAUGAACUCAUCUCUAUUGUUUCUCCAUCUGGAAAUGAAAACUCCAAGGAAUACUUCAAAAAGAGCAGGAGUUUACUUUAGGGCCCCACCGAUCGUUCCUACAAUUGUUCCCAUGACAUUGUGUGUGUGAGACGUUGUUUAGUACAUGACAACUAUGUUUCUGCCUGAAGAGUUUUUGCAGCAUCACUGCCUACACCAUUUCCAUCAGCGUACUGCAUCUGUUGUGCCACUUGUAAAACACUGAGAUUGCUAUUUACCGAGCAGGAUUUUUUCUUCUGUGCUAGU
Phasianus colchicus (ring-necked pheasant) is the source of this 1577-nucleotide non-coding RNA. NCBI's taxonomy places the organism in Eukaryota, Metazoa, Chordata, Aves, Galliformes, Phasianidae. The record is from RefSeq and is a predicted model, not a curated record.